RNAcentral lists this non-coding RNA (119 nucleotides) under Peptoclostridium litorale. RNAcentral describes it as "Clostridium litorale MoCo sequence". It matches the Rfam family "Molybdenum/Tungsten riboswitch aptamer (Moco RNA motif)". Lineage: Bacteria; Bacillati; Bacillota; Clostridia; Peptostreptococcales; Peptoclostridiaceae. RNAcentral also lists the same sequence under 1 other name. The record is from RNAcentral.
GAAUUUUGAAAAUUCCGAUUCUAUUUGCCUAAGGCAUGCGCUAUGGCGGAUGGAACGACAGGGUGCUUGAGAAAACGAAGGCGCCUCCCAUUGUGGAAAGGAGUUUGAAUUUGUAUACA